ACUUUACAAUGCUGGCAACAGCGAUAAGGGAACCUCGAGUGCCAGGUUACAAAUCUGGCUGUCGAGAUGCCUAAAAAGCAUUUCAUAGCAAGGGCCGGGCAAGACCGGUGCCAGCCGCCGCGGUAACACCGGCGGCUCGGGUGGUAACCGUUAUUAUUGGGUCUAAAGGGUCUGUAGCCGGCCGGAUAAGUCUCUUGAGAAAUCUGGCAGCUUAACUGUCAGGCUUUCAGGAGAUACUGUCUGGCUCGAGGCCGGGAGAGGUGAGAGGUACUUCAGGGGUAGGGGUGAAAUCUUGUAAUCCUUGAAGGACCACCAGUGGCGAAGGCGUCUCACCAGAACGGACCUGACGGCAAGGGACGAAAGCUAGGGGCACGAACCGGAUUAGAUACCCGGGUAGUCCUAGCCGUAAACGAUACUCGCUAGGUGUCGGCCACGGUGCGACCGUUGUCGGUGCCGUAGGGAAGCCGUGAAGCGAGC
RNAcentral lists this ribosomal RNA (477 nucleotides) under uncultured archaeon. RNAcentral's name for it is "bacterial SSU rRNA". It matches the Rfam family "Archaeal small subunit ribosomal RNA", at positions 347 to 824 of the family's 1478-position model. The record is from RNAcentral.